AACGAACGCUGGCGGCAUGCCUAACACAUGCAAGUCGAACGAGACCUUCGGGUCUAGUUGCUCACGGGUGCGUCACGCGUCGGAAGCUUCCCGUAGGCUCGGAAUAACUCCUCUACGUGGGUGCUAAUGCCGGGUAACGUACUCGGACACAGGAUUUAUCGUCCUUGUAUGAGCCGGCGUUGGUCUAGCUUGUUGGGAGGGUAAAAGCCUACCACGGCGACGCUCCAUAGCUGGGUUGAGAGGAUGAGCAGCCACACUGGGACUGAGACACGGCCCAGACUCCUACGGGAGGCAGGAGUGGGGAAUAUUGGACUAUGGGCGAAAGGCUGAUCCAGCAAUGCCGCGUGAGUGAUGAAGGUGGUAGGGUUGUACAGCUGUUUUACCCGGGAUGAUACUGACAGUACCGGGAGAAUAAGCACCGGCUAACUCCGUG
This 433-nucleotide ribosomal RNA is filed under the name uncultured bacterium. RNAcentral describes it as "partial 16S ribosomal RNA". It matches the Rfam family "Bacterial small subunit ribosomal RNA", at positions 29 to 507 of the family's 1533-position model. The record is from RNAcentral.